This 69-nucleotide non-coding RNA is filed under the name unclassified sequences. RNAcentral's name for it is "pemK RNA". It matches the Rfam family "pemK RNA". The record is from RNAcentral.
AUAAUGAUACUUCCGUCUAUUCUUUGAAGGGCGGCUCGGAGCGAUCCUCGGAGGGUGAGAGUCCCAUGA